RNAcentral lists this transfer RNA (69 nucleotides) under Lampadena yaquinae. RNAcentral describes it as "tRNA-Arg". It matches the Rfam family "tRNA". From Rfam's summary of the family: Transfer RNA (tRNA) molecules are approximately 80 nucleotides in length. Their secondary structure includes four short double-helical elements and three loops (D, anti-codon, and T loops). Further hydrogen bonds mediate the characteristic L-shaped molecular structure. tRNAs have two regions of fundamental functional importance: the anti-codon, which is responsible for specific mRNA codon recognition, and the 3' end, to which the tRNAs corresponding amino acid is attached (by aminoacyl-tRNA synthetases). tRNAs cope with the degeneracy of the genetic code in two manners: having more than one tRNA (with a specific anti-codon) for a particular amino acid; and 'wobble' base-pairing, i.e. permitting non-standard base-pairing at the 3rd anti-codon position. The record is from RNAcentral. Lineage: Eukaryota; Metazoa; Chordata; Actinopteri; Myctophiformes; Myctophidae.
GGGUUAUUAGUCCAAAUAAGACACUUGAUUUCGGCUCAAGAAAUUAAGGUUUAAAUCCUUAAUUACCCU